ACAGACUAUACGCGUCGUGGUUCCUCAUCCGAUCAUUCGGUUGAGGCUAAGAGGGAAGCCGGUGCGUCGAGAGGCAAGGCCGGUGCUGCCCCCGCAACUGUAAGCGGCGAGCCGAAGUUCAUUCAUGUCACUGGAUGCGAAUCCGGGAAGGCGAAUGGAGGCUGUGACCCGUGAGCCAGGAGACCUGCCCCGGCUAUAUAUCGUCC
This 206-nucleotide non-coding RNA is filed under the name Ochrobactrum sp. Lineage: Bacteria; Pseudomonadati; Pseudomonadota; Alphaproteobacteria; Hyphomicrobiales; Brucellaceae. The record is from RNAcentral.